RNAcentral lists this ribosomal RNA (540 nucleotides) under fungal sp. ARIZ L667. RNAcentral's name for it is "eukaryotic LSU rRNA". The stretch from base 209 to 362 matches the Rfam family "5.8S ribosomal RNA". The record is from RNAcentral. Lineage: Eukaryota; Fungi.
UCCGUAGGUGAACCUGCGGAGGGAUCAUUACACAAUAAACAUAUGAAGGCUGCACCGCCAACAGGCGGCAAGGCUGGAGUAUUUUAUUACCCUUGUCUUUUGCGCACUUGUUGUUUCCUGGGCGGGUUCGCCCGCCUCCAGGACCACAUGAUAAACCUUUUUUAUGCAGUUGCAAUCAGCGUCAGUACAACAAAUGUAAAUCAUUUACAACUUUCAACAACGGAUCUCUUGGUUCUGGCAUCGAUGAAGAACGCAGCGAAAUGCGAUACGUAGUGUGAAUUGCAGAAUUCAGUGAAUCAUCGAAUCUUUGAACGCACAUUGCGCCCUUUGGUAUUCCAAAGGGCAUGCCUGUUCGAGCGUCAUUUGUACCCUCAAGCUUUGCUUGGUGUUGGGCGUUUUUUGUCUUUGGUUUUGUCCAAAGACUCGCCUUAAAACGAUUGGCAGCCGGCCUACUGGUUUCGCAGCGCAGCACAUUUUUGCGCUUGCAAUCAGCAAAAGAGGACGGCACUCCAUCAAGACUCUAUAUCACUUUUGACCUCG